GUGGGGAAUAUUGGACAAUGGGCGCAAGCCUGAUCCAGCCAUGCCGCGUGAGUGAUGAAGGCCUUAGGGUUGUAAAGCUCUUUCACCGGUGAAGAUAAUGACGGUAACCGGAGAAGAAGCCCCGGCUAACUUCGUGCCAGCAGCCGCGGUAAUACGAAGGGGGCUAGCGUUGUUCUGAAUUACUGGGCGUAAAGCGCACGUAGGCUGAUAUUUAAGUCAGGGGUGAAAUCCCGGGGCUCAACCCCGGAACUGCCUUUGAUACUGGGUAUCUUGAGUAUGGAAGAGGUCAGUGGAAUUGCGAGUGUAGAGGUGAAAUUCGUAGAUAUUCGCAGGAACACCAGUGGCGAAGGCGGCUGACUGGUCCAUUACUGACGCUGAGGUGCGAAAGCGUGGGGAGCAAACAGGAUUAGAUACCCCGGUAGUCC
Molecule: ribosomal RNA, 425 nt
Filed under: uncultured bacterium
Lineage: Bacteria
Description: partial 16S ribosomal RNA
Rfam family: Bacterial small subunit ribosomal RNA
Source: RNAcentral